UCUCCGUUGGUGAACCUGCGGAGGGAUCAUUACCAGAGUUUUACUACUCACAACCCUUCUGUGGUCCUACCUAUCGGUGCUUCGGCGGACUCGCCCCAUCGUCCGGACGGCCCCGCGCCGGCCCGCGACCCGGACCCAGGCGGCCGCCGGCGUCCACACAAUCCCGGUACCAUCAGUCUCUCAGAAUCCGCCCCAAUGCAUAACACAUGAAUCAAAACUUUCAACAAUGGUACUCCUGGUUCUGGCAUCGCUGAAGAACGCAGCAGAUGGGAAGGGCAC
This 279-nucleotide unclassified non-coding RNA is filed under the name plant metagenome. RNAcentral describes it as "partial contains small subunit ribosomal RNA, internal transcribed spacer 1, and 5.8S ribosomal RNA". The record is from RNAcentral.